This 461-nucleotide ribosomal RNA is filed under the name uncultured organism. RNAcentral's name for it is "bacterial SSU rRNA". It matches the Rfam family "Bacterial small subunit ribosomal RNA", at positions 28 to 507 of the family's 1533-position model. The record is from RNAcentral.
GACGAACGCUGGCGGCGCGCCUAACACAUGCAAGUCGAACGGAGAUAGAGCUUCGGUUUUAUCUUAGUGGCGGACGGGUGAGUAACACGUGAGCAACCUGCCUUUCAGUGGGGGAUAACACAUCGAAAGAUGUGCUAAUACCGCAUGACGCACGGGGGGGACAUCCCCUUUGUGCCAAAGAUUUAUCGCUGAGAGAUGGGCUCGCGUCCGAUUAGGUAGUUGGCGGGGUAACGGCCCACCAAGCCCGCGAUCGGUAGCCGGACUGAGAGGUUGAACGGCCACAUUGGGACUGAGACACGGCCCAGACUCCUACGGGAGGCAGCAGUGGGGGAUAUUGCACAAUGGGCGAAAGCCUGAUGCAGCGACGCCGCGUGAGGGAAGACGGUCUUCGGAUUGUAAACCUCUGUCUUCGGGGAAGAAGAAUGACGGUACCCGAGGAGGAAGCCACGGCUAACUACGUG